ACAGGCUUCCUGGAAAGGUCCCUUCACUCCUGAAAAGACAGCCCUUCUCCUGAGGAGGUGACCUGAUCUAUCCCAAUAUGUUUUCUGCGAUGACUUAGAAUCAUUGUGCAACCAGGAGGAGAAGCCAACAUGCCGAUCUCAGCUGAACAGGAAGUUGGGUGUGGACCAGAUUACUGCACUCUCCAGUGCUCUCGGUCUGGGACUCCCCAUUCACAGCGCAAGUGUUGUUCCUACAGUGCUGCAGUUGUGUUUAAAGAGAGAGAGAAUGAGAUGUUAAAUACCAUGAUGCGGAAACUGGUGAGAUGCAUUUUAAGUAGAAAAAUCCAAAAUAGUGUAAUUUUUGAAAAACAAAAAUAUGCAUCUAUUGUUUAUAAUGACAAAA
RNAcentral lists this long non-coding RNA (382 nucleotides) under Mus caroli (Ryukyu mouse). RNAcentral describes it as "lncRNA (MGP_CAROLIEiJ_G0006451.1)". The record is from RNAcentral. Lineage: Eukaryota; Metazoa; Chordata; Mammalia; Rodentia; Muridae.